GCUGCCCGAGCUGAGCAGUCACCGCCUCCAGCCUCCACCCGCUCCAGGACGUUUUAAUCCAGCCUUACUGGAAUUCUGUAAUAAUAGCCAAAAUAUCGCCAGCCCCGAGCUUCCAGUUCAAGGCAUCAUACUCCUCUUGUGAUACUACGCACAACUUCUAUGGAUAUUUAAAAUGCUCUCCUGUUGAAUUCUGUAGAUCACACACACAGGUACCCAUGUAUGAGGUUGUCCCACUGACCGAGGCCUGGAGAGAAGCUGCGGGAGGAGAGAAGAACGUAAAACCACAGACGAGGCCAUACGAGAGCGCAGGUGCAGACUG
This is a long non-coding RNA of Neogale vison (American mink), 319 nucleotides long. RefSeq lists it as uncharacterized. The record is from RefSeq and is a predicted model, not a curated record. NCBI's taxonomy places the organism in Eukaryota, Metazoa, Chordata, Mammalia, Carnivora, Mustelidae. The transcript is spliced from 4 exons.